This 497-nucleotide ribosomal RNA is filed under the name uncultured bacterium. Its description in RNAcentral is "partial 16S ribosomal RNA". It matches the Rfam family "Bacterial small subunit ribosomal RNA", at positions 28 to 507 of the family's 1533-position model. The record is from RNAcentral.
GAUGAACGCUGGCGGCGUGCCUAAUACAUGCAAGUCGAGCGAACAGACGAGGAGCUUGCUCCUCUGACGUUAGCGGCGGACGGGUGAGUAACACGUGGAUAACCUACCUAUAAGACUGGGAUAACUUCGGGAAACCGGAGCUAAUACCGGAUAAUAUAUUGAACCGCAUGGUUCAAUAGUGAAAGACGGUUUUGCUGUCACUUAUAGAUGGAUCCGCGCCGCACUAGCUAGUUGGUAAGGUAACGGCUUACCAAGGCAACGAUGCGUAGCCGACCUGAGAGGAUGAUCGGCCACACUGGAACUGAGACACGGUCCAGACUCCUACGGGAGGCAGCAGUAGGGAAUCUUCCGCAAUGGGCGAAAGCCUGACGGAGCAACGCCGCGUGAGUGAUGAAGGUCUUCGGAUCGUAAAACUCUGUUAUUAGGGAAGAACAAAUGUGUAAGUAACUAUGCACGUCUUGACGGUACCUAAUCAGAAAGCCACGGCUAACUACGUG